UCUUGCAAACUAAAGAUGGCGACCGGCGCACGGGUGAGUAACACGUAUCCAACCUGCCGAUAACUCGGGGAUAGCCUUUCGAAAGAAAGAUUAAUAUCCGAUAGUAUAUUAAAACCGCAUGGUUUUACUAUUAAAGAAUUUCGGUUAUCGAUGGGGAUGCGUUCCAUUAGUUUGUUGGCGGGGUAACGGCCCACCAAGACUACGAUGGAUAGGGGUUCUGAGAGGAAGGUCCCCCACAUUGGAACUGAGACACGGCCCAA
Molecule: ribosomal RNA, 260 nt
Filed under: uncultured bacterium
Lineage: Bacteria
Description: partial 16S ribosomal RNA
Rfam family: Bacterial small subunit ribosomal RNA
Source: RNAcentral